UGGGGAAUAUUGCUCAAUGGGCGCAAGCCUGAAGCAGCGACGCCGCGUGAGGGAUGAAGGCCUUCGGGUUGUAAACCUCUUUCAGCUCCGAAGAAGCGAAAGUGACGGUAGGAGCAAAAGAAGCACCGGCUAACUACGUGCCAGCAGCCGCGGUAAUACGUAGGGUGCAAGCGUUGUCCGGAUUUAUUGGGCGUAAAGAGCUCGUAGGCGGUCUGUCGCGUCUGCUGUGAAAACUCGGGGCUUAACCCCGGGCCUGCAGUGGGUACGGGCAGACUAGAGUGCGGUAGGGGAGACUGGAAUUCCUGGUGUAGCGGUGAAAUGCGCAGAUAUCAGGAGGAACACCGGUGGCGAAGGCGGGUCUCUGGGCCGUAACUGACGCUGAGGAGCUAAAGCAUGGGUAGCGAACAGGAUUAGAUACCCUGGUAGUCCAUGCCGUAAACGUUGGGCGCUAGGUGUGGGGCUCAUUCCACGAGUUCCGUGCCGCAGCAAACGCAUUAAGCGCCCCGCCUGGGGAGUACGGCCGCAAGGCUAAAACUCAAAGGAAUUGACGGGGCCCCGCACAAGCGGCGGAGCAUGCGGAUUAAUUCGAUGCAACGCGAAGAACCUUACCAAGGCUUGACAUGC
RNAcentral lists this ribosomal RNA (624 nucleotides) under uncultured bacterium. RNAcentral's name for it is "bacterial SSU rRNA". It matches the Rfam family "Bacterial small subunit ribosomal RNA", at positions 355 to 989 of the family's 1533-position model. The record is from RNAcentral.